UACGGAAGGCAGCAGUGGGGAAUAUUGCACAAUGGGCGCAAGCCUGAUGCAGCCAUGCCGCGUGUAUGAAGAAGGCCUUCGGGUUGUAAAGUACUUUCAGUCGUGAGGAAGGUGUUAAGGUUAAUAACCUUAGCAAUUGACGUUAGCGACAGAAGAAGCACCGGCUAACUCCGUGCCAGCAGCCGCGGUAAUACGGAGGGUGCAAGCGUUAAUCGGAAUUACUGGGCGUAAAGGGCACGCAGGCGGUUAAUUAAGUUGGAUGUGAAAUCCCCGGGCUUAACCUGGGAAUGGCAUUCAAGACUGGUUAGCUAGAGUCUUGUAGAGGGGGUAGAAUUCCAUGUGUAGCGGUGAAAUGCGUAGAGAUGUGGAGGAAUACCGGUGGCGAAGGCGGCCCCUGGACAAAGGCUGACGCUCAUGUGCGAAAGCGUGGGGAGCAAAC
This 439-nucleotide ribosomal RNA is filed under the name uncultured bacterium. RNAcentral describes it as "bacterial SSU rRNA". It matches the Rfam family "Bacterial small subunit ribosomal RNA", at positions 340 to 773 of the family's 1533-position model. The record is from RNAcentral.